UACGGAGGGUGCAAGCGUUGCUCGGAAUUAUUGGGCGUAAAGGGCGCGUAGGCGGCAUGGCAAGUGGAUGGUGAAAUCCCUCGGCUUAACCGAGGAACUGCCGUCCAAACUGCUUCGCUUGAGACCGGGAGAGGUGAGUGGAAUUCCCAGUGUAGCGGUGAAAUUCGUAGAUAUCGGGAGGAACACCUGUGGCGAAGGCGGCCACCCUGGACAACAACGUGACGCUGAGAGCGAAAGCGUGGGUAGCA
RNAcentral lists this ribosomal RNA (248 nucleotides) under uncultured bacterium. RNAcentral's name for it is "partial 16S ribosomal RNA". It matches the Rfam family "Bacterial small subunit ribosomal RNA", at positions 524 to 770 of the family's 1533-position model. The record is from RNAcentral.